GGGGAAUAUUGCACAAUGGGCGAAAGCCUGAUGCAGCAACGCCGCGUGAGUGAUGAAGGUCUUCGGAUUGUAAAGCUCUGUCUUUUGGGACGAUAAUGACGGUACCAAAGGAGGAAGCCACGGCUAACUACGUGCCAGCAGCCGCGGUAAUACGUAGGUGGCGAGCGUUGUCCGGAUUUACUGGGCGUAAAGGGUGCGUAGGCGGAUGUUUAAGUGAGAUGUGAAAU
RNAcentral lists this ribosomal RNA (227 nucleotides) under uncultured bacterium. RNAcentral's name for it is "partial 16S ribosomal RNA". It matches the Rfam family "Bacterial small subunit ribosomal RNA", at positions 356 to 600 of the family's 1533-position model. The record is from RNAcentral.